GAGGCCAUAGCUCAGCUGGUUAGAGCACCUGCCUUUUAAGCAGGGUGUCCUGGGUUCGAGCCCCAGUGGCCUCACCA
RNAcentral lists this transfer RNA (77 nucleotides) under Candidatus Saccharimonadota bacterium. RNAcentral's name for it is "tRNA-Lys". It matches the Rfam family "tRNA". Rfam says of the family: Transfer RNA (tRNA) molecules are approximately 80 nucleotides in length. Lineage: Bacteria; Candidatus Saccharimonadota. The record is from RNAcentral. RNAcentral also lists the same sequence under 2 other names.